ACAUAUGUUUCCAAGGCAUAUAAUUACAAAGAUCAUGAAGAAAGUACUUAUUGCAAAUGCUCCGCCUCUAAGCCCCGAUAUAAAACAUGUCAAACUACAUAAUACUCAAGUUCUUCCCAUUCCAUUAUUAGUUCAAAAAGAAAAAAUGAUUUUUUUUUGUUUUUCUUUGGACUUUAAACCCUCAAGAAAACUAUCAAGAACAUUAGAUAGAGUUGAUUGUUAGUUAGUUAAGAAACUAAUUGAGGGACCUAAGUGUAAAUAAAAGAACUUGAGGGUCAUAUUGUUAAAGAGUAUGAAGGGCACGUGUUUCUGUUAAAUAGAACAAUGCUCUACGGAAAUCAGUUGUAUCUUCUUCCUCUUCUGCUAAGCAAAAAUGGCUUUUUCCUCUCUUGAUUUCUUCUUCUAGAUUUCUCCAGAUUCUUCUCUAGAUUCAAUUGCAUAUUAUGAAACUAGAAUCAUUGAGUGUAGAUUCAACAAAUUAACAUGGUAUAAGAGCCUUGAUUGCUGUAAUUGCGCAGAUCGGAGUACUGUAAUUGUAUAACCUUGAGUUCAGUCAUGGCGAUAGAUGAAAUUGCACAAUUACCUCGCAAUCACCCACUGUUCCUUCGAGAUUCAGAUGCACCUGGAACAACAUUGAUCUCGUUAAAGCUCACAGGGCUAGAAAACUAUGCCAUAUGGAGUAGAGCUAAUGAGGGUUGCACUGUUAGUGAAGAACAAUCUAGGGUUUGUGGACGGUACAUGUGUAAAAGGAUCGCAUAAAGGAGAAUUAUAGACACAGUGAGAACGAUAUAAUGUUGUUGUAGUUUCGUGGUUGAGCAACACUGUAGCUGGUGAAUUGGUGCCUAGCAUCAUGUAUUCUUCUAGUGCGAAGAAGGUAUGGGAUGAGUUUAAAGAGAGAUUUGAUAAGGAUAAUUUGACUCGAAUCUAUCAACUUUGGGCUGAGAUUGCAAGUCUAAAGCAAGGAACUGAGUCGGUUACCUCAUAUUUCUCAAAAAUGAAGGAUUUAUGGGAUGAAUUGGACAUUUUAACACCAUUACCUUCUUGUGACUGUGAAGAAUCGAGGCCCUAUGUGGAACAUCUAGUGAGGCAAAGAUUGUUGCAGUUCCUUAUGGGACUCAAUGAGAGCUACAGUCAAGUAAGAAGCAAUAUACUGCAGAGAAGACCAGUUCUAUCAGUUAAUCAGGCUUAUGUAGUAGCUAUAGAGGAUGAGAGUCAAAGAACACUAGGUGUUCUGGAAUCAAACAAGGAACCUUUAACAAUGCUAGCAUGAAGGGGUCAAAUGUUCAAAAUCAAGAAACCAAGGUUGAUCUACGAGCAUUAUGGUUAUAAAGGCCACUUGAAGGAGAAUUGUUACAAAAUAAUAGGCUAUCCUCCAGAUUUUAAAAGCAAGAAGAAGGGGCAACUAGGUACAUAUAAACCUUUUGCUAAUAAUUCUAACAUAUAUGUAAGUAUUGAAACCAGUAAUCAGCCACAAGGAAACUAUCUCACAACAAAACAGUACAAACAGUUGGUAAACCUGUUGGAGAGAACUUCACUAGAAAAAAGAAAUGCAGGACCAUCAGAGUUAACUUGAUCUUCAAACGUGGAAGGUAUUAUGUCAUUGAUGUCUAGUGUAUCCAACAUAUGUGUUUAUGAUUGGAUACUAGACUCAGGAGCAUCGCAUCACAUAGCAUUUUGCAAGAAUGUAUUGGAUACCAUUAGACCUGUAAAAGGACAAAGUAGUUUUGGAGUACAAACAUCUACACGAGAUAGAUCUGAAAUCACACAUGCUGGAGAUGCUACAAUCCUAGAGAAUCAGAAAAUUAAGAAUGUUUUAUAUGUUCCAAACUUUAAGUUCAAUUUACUCUCAGUAUUGUGAGCACCACAAAUACAAAUAGUACUGGGUUAGAAACAAUCAGGGUUGAUGCAGAGCAAAAGUCUCUUGAAACUAACUCAAGCUGAUUGAGCAAAAGCCAAGCUGCCCAGGACUCAAAGCCACAAACCGACCACUGUUAGAACUGACAAAAUUUUCUUUGUUUGAAACAAGAAUAAAGCAGUGCAAGAAAAGUUGUUCAAAAAAAAAAACGAGAAAAAAAAAGAAGAAAUGAAGAGAAGAGAAGAGUCGACAAAGAGAAGUUUCUCAUAUCUUUGCCUUUAUUAGUCUUGCUAGUGUGCAUAAAAUCCUGUCAUCGCUCUUCAUAUUUUUUUCCUCUUAGGGUAAUAAAUCCUAGUCUGAUGGAUUUUCCUUCCAAUAAAAAUCUUAGUCUGAUGAAUCAUUCUUCUAAGAUAAAAAAAUGUAGUCUGAUGAAUCUUUAUCCUAUGAUCGAAGUCUUAGUCUGAUGAAUUUUUUUCCUAAGAUAAGAAAAUCUAGUCUGAUGAAUGUUUCUCCUAGGAUAAACAUCUUAAUCUGAUGAAGCCUUCUCCUAAGAUAACAAAAAAAAACCUAGUCUGAUGAAUCUUUCUCCUAGGAUAAACGUCUUAGUCUAAUAAAUAUUUCUCCUAAGAUAAGAAAACCCAGUCUGAUGAAUUUUUCUCCUAGGAUAGAAAUCUUAGUCUGAUGAAUCUUUUCCUAAGAUAACAAAAAAAAAUCUAGUCUGAUGAAUCUUUCUCCUAGGAUAAACACCUUAGUCUGAUGAAUCUUUCUCCUAAGAUAACAAAAAAAACCUAGUCCGGUGAAUCUUUCUCCUAGGAUAAACAUCUUAGUCUGAUGAAUCUUUCUCCUCAGAUAAGAAAACCUAGAUUGAUGAAUCUUUCUCCUAGGAUAAACAAUUUUAGUCUUAUGAAUCUUUCUUCUAAGAUAAGAAAAUCUUAGUCUGAUGAAUCUUUCUCCUAAAAUAACAAAACAAAAAAAAUUCCUAAUCUGAUGAACUUUCUCCUAGGAUCAAAGUCUUAGUCUAAUGAAUUUUUCUCCUAAGAUAAGAAAACCUAGUCUGAUGAAUUUUUCUCCUAGGAUAGAAAUCUUAGUCUGAUGAAUCUUUUGUCGUGCCCCCUUUUUCCUUCGCGAAGUCCGGGUUUCGACAUUCAUGGGGAACAAUUCGUUUCCUUUUGGGAAUUGGGUAUUUGAAUAGUCGCCACCUAACAGUUUAAGGUGUGUUAGGGCACCUAAAGCGAUUAAGUCAUAUAACUAGUUUGCAUUACCAGAGAUUAGGGUAAGGGCUCGAAAUAACCUUGAGGGGAAGUUGUUAGGCAUUCCUCGCGGUCCACAAUGGUGGGUCCCGACCGAACUUAAACUAUGUGAAUUAGUCAAUUAACAAGUAAGCACGUAUUUGCAAAUAAGGUAAUUUCCCCCCAUCUAAAUGCAUAUAUGAUCAAGGAAGUUUAGAUAAUGGGGGUAAAAGAGGUUUGGACAGCUUACACACGUAUAUGUAAAGAAAAGGGAAGUUUAGAUAAUUUAAACACAUAUAGAAAUUGGGAAAGGGAAGUCCUAAGUUGAUUAACCUACAGGAUCAAUCUGUGCAAUACCCGGUAAUCCUCCUCAACUUGAGGGGUUACACGUGACAUUAGCGUGCAGGUCAUCAUAUCCUUUUACUACCCAUUAUCCUCCCCUUAAUGGUUAUAUAAGUGAGUUUGAUUAACGACCUCUAAGCGUGCUGCUACCCGUCCCUUCCUUGUGGUCCUGGAGGAGCUUAGGACCUCUAAAUCUAGGCAGUUCUAGACAAACUUAAGGUAUUUAAAAGGCAAAAAUCUAGGCGACAAACAAAUAACAUGUAGGACAAGCAAAUAGAGAAAAAACAGUUAAAAGGCUCAUGUUUACCUCCACAUGUAUUAGGCAAAUAGACAGCACGUCCCAAACAGUUGAUUUUGAAGAAGUUCAGAAAGCCUAGGAAUAUGGUAUCUAGAUGAAUGUUACAGAUACAUGAUAUGCAACGUUUGUUUUAAGGGAAGUGGCAGAAUACUAACUAGUUUGCCUACUGGUUUUAUAGCCUGUUAAGCCUGGAUAAUUUCACACAUAAACAGAACUAGAUUUCACAGUUAUUUAAUGGCCUAAGGCUUGCCUAGGCAUGUGUCUAUGUGCAGUCAUGAUCUGAGAAUUAAUUAAACAGCUUGAAGUGAGUUAAUCAUAUAGGCAUGCUGAUCUAAGUGACAAAGACUAAUUUUAGACAUGCUGACAAUAGGACGUGAUAUCUAUGCGUUUGGACUAUUUUUAAACCCUUUUUGUAGACAGCUAUUGAUUUGAUCGAAAUAGACAUGGUUCAAACAAAUGCAAAUAGAGUUCUUAGAAAACAUGGUAUCUAAUGCAUACAGGAGAUGACUAAAUUUUUUAAGGCAGGAUUAUUAACCUAAUAGCAGGAUCUCUAAGUGAAAAUACUUAUGCAAAAUCAAAGCUCGAAUAGAGAUAUAUGACAUGUAGUAUGUUGAAGUAAUAAGCGUGAAUACCCUAAGAACAGGAUGUCUAGCGUGCAGGUUUAACAUGGUUUAAAUGCAAAUAGACACACCAGUCCUAGAACAUGAUUUCUAGUGAAGAUUUGCGUAAUGUAAAGCCUAAAAACAUGAUUUCUACCCAGCAUUACCCCAUAGUACCAUACAGCUACCCUUCCGUUUCACUAGUUACCCUAAUAUCUGCUUACAAAUAAUUAUUAUAGACCAAAAUUAACUAAAUUACAUAAAUGCAAUAGAAAUUAAGCUAUAGGGAGCCUGAUGCAGGCCCAAGGCAAACCUGAAGUACCAGGUCUUCAGUAGUCUCAAAUGCCCAAGAUUUCAUUGCCACAUUUGUGUCCAGGUGUGUCAGAGUUCCCUAAGGACCUCAAGGAUCCUAGGCAGUGAUCACACCCAGACUUUCUCAAAUAAAGCCUGAUUAUGUGUAGUGUGGAAGAGCCAGCCCUGAUAUGCCAAAGUUCAGAGAGAUCUCAAGGAUCUCUAAGCAGUACGCAUACCAGAGGGGCAUGACUUAAUAACCUAAGAGUAAGUGAGAGUGCUUGACAUAAUUUUGAAAAUGUUUUGGUAAACAGUAUAAAGAGGACUCUUAGGAGUGAAAGAUUUUCUGAAAAUCAGAACUAGUUUUGGUGGUAAAACAACUUGAGAAAAGUAUGAAAACACUUUGAAAUCAGAACACAAAUCAUAGAACAACCAGAUUCAGAAACACUUGGCAAACAAACUCCACACAGGGAGAGAGGGGUUGGGGACACAUAGUAUACACCUUACUGUAUAGUGGAGCACAUAAGCAACCAGAUGCACAGAAUUCUCAAGAGCUUGUAGAAUUAAUAAGUUAGAAAGGGUAGGUGAUUGAGACAUGGAGCAGAGAUUACAACAAAGACAUGUUGAGAACACAUAAACCUUGGACAUGACCAAACACACAACUAGAAUUGCCUUGAGAGACUAGAUGACUUAGCAUGAUCCCAUUAGUAAAGCAGAGUAGGCAAGGACUUAAAUGAGCAAACUAGGCAAACACCACACAAGCACUUAUAAUGUAGACAUUCUAAUCACACACUAAACAAAAUAAGAUUUAGACAUGCUAGAUAAACAGUAAACAGGCAAGUAUAAUUUACACAUGCUAAUCACAUAUUGAACAUGACAGCGUUAGGCAUGCUAAGCAAGACACUAAACAGGAACAAGAAUGGAACUCAUAACUGAUGAACUAAGGUAGUAAUGAAACACAUAGGGUUUAGAUUCUAAAAUUAAAUCAGAGACAUACCAAUUAGGGAAAGAGAACACAAGAUGUAAAGCAGAUGUUGUGCAAUAUCUAACCUUGGCUUACAGCAGGCAAGACUAAUGAAUAUCGCAAGUAGAAAAGAAGAACAUAGAGCUUUUUAGAGUGUAAGUGUAGUGGUGAACUAAUGUUCGUGUCCAGAAGUGAAAAUAGAGGAGAGCAUAUAUAUUGGUUAAGAAUUAAAUCGAAUAAGGUAACAGAUUAAUUGUUCAGCAAUUAAGGAAAUUUACAGACUCAACAAUGCAUAAAAUCAGUAAGGUUUCCCCUAAUUAAGGGGUAAUCAACCAACGGUAAAGGGCAGGAAAGUAUUUAAGGAAAGAAGAAUCGAGUAAAACUUAAGCACAUAAUGGGCAAUUAAGGGUAAAUAACAUGGGUUUAAUUAAGAAAACCAUUUUGAGGAAUCUGUGAGUAUCAUAGUUGAUUCUAAUAAGGUAAGAAAAUAAUUAGAAGGUGUAAAAAUAGGGAGAUAAUCAAAACCAACACAUAGGUUUUAAUAGAGCAAAUAAAUGAAUCAAAAUUCAAACAAAUAACACCAAUUUAAGGGAGAAUAAUAUAGAUUUCCAUGAAUAAACAAGUAGGCCAAGUAUAAACACACAAAAUCAGUCGAGAAUCGAAUCAUAAACCCUAAUAAAGACAUACUAGGGUAAAAAUCAUAAGAUAUCGAAUUAACAGCAACAACAACAACAACCCAGUAUAAUCCCACUUAAUGGGGUCUGGAGAGGGUAGUGUGUACGCAGAUCUUACCCCUACCUUGGGGUAGAGAGGUUGUUUCCAAAUAGACCCCCGAUAUCCUUCCCUCCAAAAAUUUCCCACCUUGCUCUUGGGGAGACUCGAACUCACAACCUCUUAGUUGGAAGUGGAGGUUGCUUACCAUCAGAACAACCCCUCUUGUCAAGAUAUCGAAUUAAGCUAAAGGAAAAUCACAAGAAUCAAAGCAUAGAAUGAAAAAAGUGCACAAGUAAUAUGGUCAAACUCAGAGUCAAAGCAAAAAUGUCAAAAAAUGGGGUUUUAGCAUAAACUAGUUAGGGUCGAGGCAAACUCAACAUAAUCGGUCAAAAGCACAUAAGAAUAGCGGAUCAAACAUCCAAAGUCAGAAAACGUUUUGGAGAAAAGGAUUUUCAGGAAACCCUAGUUUAAGAAAAUGGAAACCCACUCGUAAAACCAGAAGAUUUUCAUAAAAAACAAGUGAAAUAAGUUCAAUCUAUCUCAGAUAUGUACAUAUUUGAGAAGUUCAAAAGAUGAAAUUAGGGUUUUAAGAAAUAAUACAGAGAUGAAGACAUAGGUUUAGAACUCCACAGGUUCAAGAUGAAAAAUAAGAAAUUCUUACUCGAAAUCGAACCAGAAUGACCUAAAACAGGCGAGAAAGAACCAAAGGCGUAAGCGGACUAACCCUGGUCCCUUGAGGACCUUAGAGACGGAAGUACCCAGCAUAGGAGAGGCCAUUAGAGGCCCGAGGUGGUGAGAAACCACCAUGGAUGGCAAUGGAUGAGUGACGGCGAGGGUGAGUUAGGGUUAAGAUUAGAGAGCAUUUGAGAGAAGGAGAGGUGAGUGACGGCGGGUGAGAGGAGAGAAUGAGAGGUUUGGGGAGGGGGGGAGUCGUUAGGGUUUAAUUAUGGUAGGGAAAAUCUGGACCGUUGAUCAUUUUGAUCAACGACCAGGAUUGGCCAGGGUAUUGGGUCGGGUGAAUACAGAUUGGGCCUAAAGGGUUUUGGGAUGGUUUUUGGUUUAAUAUUAAGGGGGUUUUGGGCUGGUAUUAAAAGGGUUAAGUCUGAAAUAAAAAGGGCUAUUUAUUAAAUACCCAAAUAAUUGGUAAAAAAUAUUUUAUAAAAAUAAUUUUCAUGCAUAGAAAUGCUUUACAAUAAUUACUCAAUAUUUUAAAAAUGCAACAAGUUAUUUUCUGGUAAAAUAAUGCAUGCAUGAGCAAUAAUUGCAAAGUUAUUGCAAUUAUAACAAAAAAUGUAGAUAUGGCUACUUAUGAAAUAAUUUGAGCUUAAUGAAUAUAAACAGCAAAAUUAAACCAUGAAAUAUUUAUAAAGUCCUUUGCGAUGCGAUUUGUAAUUAUAAAAUAUCCGCAUAAAAUUAAUUAAAAAUCCCUAAAAAUGUAGAAAUUAUGAAAAAAUGUCAAUUGAUGCUAAUGCAUAGUUUUGAAGUUGUAUAUGUAUUUGAAAAAAUAUUAUAGGGAAAAAUAGGGUAUCAACAUCUUUCUUCUAAGAUAACAAAAAAAGUCUAGUCUAAUGAAUUUUCUCCUAGGAUCGAAGUCUUAGUCUGAUGAAUUUUUCUCUUAAGAUAAGAAAACCUAGUUUGAUGAAUCUUUCUCCUAGGAUAGAAAUCUUAGUCUGAUGAAUUUAAAUCUUUAUCCUAAGAUAAAUAACCUGGUCUUAUGAACUUUCUCCUAGGAUAAAAAUCUUAGUCUGAUGAAUCUUUCUCCUAAGAUAAACAACCUAGUCUGAUGAAUCUUUCUCCUAAGUUAAAAAAAAACCUAGUCUGAUGAAUCUUUCUCCUAAGAUAAACGUCUUAGUUUAAUGAAUUUUUCUCCUAAGAUGAGAAAACCUAGUCUAAUGAAUUUUUUCCUAGGAUAAUUUUUAUAAAUAAAGAGAGAAGAAGUCUUGUUUGAAAAAAAAAAUCGUUUGUUCAUGCCCUCAGAAAAUAAGCGCUGUGGCAUUUUGUUUAAAAGAAUGAUUUUCUCAACAAAAAAAAAAUCCUUCUUGGUUUGUUUUAGACAUAGGGUCUCCACUCUCUAGUCUCCUUUUCCAACAUAGGGUCCUCACUCCCUAGUUGAUGACAGCAUAACCUGAUGCCAACAUAGGGUCUCCAUUUCCUAGUUGAUGCCAACAUAAGGUCCUCACUCCCUAGUUGAUGCCAACAUAACCUGAUGCCAACAUAGGGUCACCAGUCCCUAGUUGAUGCCAACACAGGGUCCCCACUCCUUAGUUGAUGCCAGCAUAACCUGAUGCCAAUAUAGGGUCUUCAUUCCCUAGUUGAUCCUAAUAUAGGGUUCCCACCUCCUAGUUGAUGCUAGCAUAAUCUGAUGCUAACAUAGAGUCCCCACUCCCUAGUUGAUGCCAGCAUAACCUGAUGCCAACAUAGGCUCUCCACUCCCUAGUUGAUGCCAGCAUAACCUGAUGUCAGUAUAACAUAAUGCCAACAUAUGGUCACCAUUCCUUAGUUUAUGAUUUUCCCUAAUUGAUUUCAUUUUAGAUAUAGGGUCUCCACUCCCUAAUCUCUUUUUUCAAGGAUACACAAUCCUGAUUUUUGUUGCUUUCAAUAAUGAGGUAGUAUAGAGUUUUGGUUACAAAUAACUCACGAAAUUUUUCCUAGUGAAAACUGGGACAGAAAAAUUUUGUUCGUUUGUUUUGAUGCUUGAGCAGGUUAAACCUCGAGGCGCAAGAUAAGAGACGACCGAAAGAAGAAGUCUCAAUCCGGAAUAAAAGAAAAGAAGAAAAGAAAAAGAAGUGACCUCAAAGUGCAGAAGUGGAGAAAAGAUGUGGACUGCUCAAGAUAUGAUUGAAGUCACAAGCUUUGCAUGCCCCGCCUUGAUUCGAAAAGCUAAAGUAGAAUGAACCAGCACUUGCAGCUAACAAGCAUCAAGAUUCAGAUCAGAGUCUGCAUGAAAAACCAGCCAAGACUCAACAUCAAGCUUCAAAAGAUUUAUAGACAGGAAUCUUGUAACUCGUAGCUGGUAGGUUUAACUAGUUUAGUUUUUCAUUUUGAUUUUGGUGUAAUAAGGAGCUCAGCAAGCAGAAACAGCAGCAACACCAGUGAAAUCACAGCUAUCCGGUAGUUCCAGCAACCAAAACUUCCAGAACUAUACUGACCUGAUUUCUUUAUAGCCAGGAUAUGUAGGCAACCUCCGAAGCAAGGUUCGGUAAGACUUUUUCAAAAAAUGCUUCCCAUGGGGUGUCAAACGGACAAAAAUUGCUCGUAAUUACUCACUUUUCUUUGCUCGAAAACUCUUCAUGUUUCCGAGCAAAGAGGGGCAACUGUGAUCAUCUAAUUUUGCCCUGCAUGGAAAUAACUCCUAAAAAUAGACCAAAAAUAAUUUUAAUGGAUUUUAGGAGUUUUUCUUUAUUUAGUUGCAUUUCAUGCAUGUUUAAUAUUUUAAAAUCAUAAGAAAAAUCAUAAAAAAUUAUCACAUUUUCGUUUCAUGUCAUCGUAGGUUUAAUUUACAUUUUUAGGAAUUAACUACUCUUUACUUGUUAGAAUUAAUUCAUAAAAAAUCAAACAAAAUAUUUCAUGCAUUUGUUAUUAGAUAAAUAGAAUUUGCUAAUGAGAUUUAAGUUAGAUUUUAAUUUAUUUGUUCAAGAAUUUAAAAUCAAAACGAAAAGAAGACAAAGAAAAAAAGGGGAAAAGCUAUUUUUGGGUCUAAAUUCGGACAUGGGCCAAUUUUCAUGGCCCAACUCCCUCGAAACCCGUCCAAGCCACGCCUGCCAGGCCCAACCGGUCCCCCUCCCCUUUAAAUAAAAGAAAACCCUAAGACCUAAAGAAGAGGACCCUUUCCCAAAAAUAGAACCCCUCCCCCUCUUGGAAAAAAUGAAAACGGCGCACCCCCUCUCUCUUUCCCUUCACUCUCUCUCUCUCUGUAUAAACGACCACACACACAAAAAAAAAUACACACACACAAAAGCAGUUAGCAACAAGCGAAAAACCAAGAAAAAUUGGAAGUUCUGAAAGAUUUUGAAAGCUGAAAACGACAAAAGAGGUUUCAAAAUUAGAAGAAAAUUGGGGGGAACAGGGAGUUUCGAAGGCUCUGCUGAUUUUCGCUGCUUUAUCUCUCCAAUUUCUAGGUGUUCGAGUUUUGAUUUUGAUUUUAGAAGCUGAAGUUAUGUUUUGCUACUUCUACUUUCGCUGAGCUCCAGCUUUCCCUUCGCCUUUAUUUGAUUAUUGAAGUUUAUCUCUACUGCUGUGUAGAGGUAUUUAUAUCAAUCUCGAAAUGUAAUGGUUGUUCGGACAUCCAUGUGCUAUAAAUUUGCUGAAAUUUAUUUGUGUAUAUAUGGUGGAAUUGUUCUUUGAUGUUUUCUGUUUGUUCAUUGAUAUUUAUUUUAAUUCAGCGAAAUUGAAGUGAUAUGGGACCUUAUAAGUACAAGAAAUGAAAUAAUACCUUCGUAUAACUCUAAUUUUUUCCUCCUUUUGUUCACGUCUAAAAGGAUAAAGGAAUUUUGCCUAACAGCAACUGGUUGGUUUGAAAAGAAUUACGGGCUUAAGUUGUCUGAAUUUACUAAUUAGGAUUAUAGGAAUAACAAAGACAGAGUAAAAAAAGAGAGGAAAUCGGUAUUAAUCUUACAUGAUUAUUCCCUCUUUAUGAAUUUGUUUUUCUCCUUUGAGUAUUUAUGUUUUUUUUUACAUUUUUAGUAAUAGGAUAUUAUUAUGCUAAUAUAGAAUCGUGUUUGUUCUCUGAUGCAUCUAUUUGGUAUUGUUGGCUAUAUUGGCUUUGAUUUAGUUUUAGCAUCAAAUAAAUGUUCAGGAACCUUAAUAGAAAACACGAUUAUGUACUGAGCCUUACUUUAUAAAGUAUGAACAGUUUGUCUGAUUUGGGUCUAAUCUCUGUUGAGCAUCACACGCAUAGAAGGAAAGUAUGAAUAAGAGUUAAAGUUAGAGGCAUAAAUUAGUCGUAUUUUCAUAAGUAAUUAUAGAAUAGCCUGGAUGUAAUCUUGAUUCUGAAUUAGUUUGGUACUCUUUUGUUUCCAUUUCAUUGCCCCUUUUGGUUGAAAACUAAUGCACGAACAUGUGGGUUCUCACGUAGAAAUGAAUCAGUGUAUGAAAACAAGUGCAAGCAAUUGAUUGAAUCAAAUCUGCCAACUCUAUGAUUGUUCGUAAUGAUCAGUUCUUUAUUUACCACAAUUAAUCUCCAUAACUCAAGGUCUUACAAUAAUCUCAAACUUAGAAAGAAAUAAUCAUGAACAUCGUAGCUUACUUUAGGCACGAUUAAUUUUAAAUCAUCGUGACUAUGGAUACGGUUCCCGUAGCAUAGUCAUGAUAUAUAACCCAAAUUCGAGUGUGCGUUUCACGCUACUCGAUCUCAAAUUCAAAUAAUAAUAAAUUAAACAUAUUGUAGAUCAUGUGUAAGUUUCCGUACGCAAUUCGCAAUGUGUACAAAACAAACAAGUGCGCGACAUCGCGACUUGUUCAAACAAAUACCAUAAAUAAUUAAAAGUGGUAAAAGGUAAAAUGCACGUAGGUUUAAAAUACGUAAUUGAAUAAAGUUAAUUAAGCCAGGUAUGAUUAAAGUGACCGUGCUAAAACCACGGAAUCUGGGAAUGCCUAAUACCUUCUCCCAUAUUAACAGAAUUCCUUACCCGAUAUUUUGGUUUCACAGACUUUAGAACAAAGUCAAAUUUCCUCGAUUUGGAAUUUAAAAUAAGCCGGUGACUUGGGAUACCAUAAAUUAUCCCAACUGGCGACUCUGAAAUUAAAUAAAUAAUCUUAUUUCGAUUAAUGUCACUUUAAUUGGAAAAACUCCCUAAUCCUUCUCGAGAAAAAGGAGGUGUGAUAAGUAUCCAACCUGACUAAGGACCUAUGCUGCUCUGCAUGUUUUUUCCCUGAUUUUUAUGUGUUUGAGGGACUAUACAGUGGCAGGGUGCUGGGGAUUGGUAAAGAAGAUAGUGGACUUUGCAUACUUAGUAGAGGAGACGUAGUUGUUGCUAGUUCAUUUCACAAAAAAAGGAGUAACAACCACAACGUGACAUCAAAGGCUAGGACAUGCCUCUACACAUGCUAUGCAACAUUUGCCAGAUUUGAAGAAUAAAGUAAAGCUAGAGAUGCAAAAGGACUGUCAAAUUUGCCCUUUAGCUAAAUAAAGUAGACUGAACUUUCCCAUAAGUAAUAGUAGUUCAAACUGUGUGUUUCAAUUAGUGCAUGUUGAUGUAUGGGGUCCUUACAAGGUAGGAACCUAUGAUAGAAAAUAAUAUUUCGUCACUUUAGUUAAUGACUACAGUAGAUAUACACGGACUUGUUUGCUGAAAUCAAAAUGUGAAGUUUUUGUUGUCUUGAAAGACUUUCUUUUGAAGUUUUUGUUGUGCUGAAAGACUUUCUUUCUUUGGUUAAAAAUCAGUUUGGUGUGAUGGUUAAGACUUUGAGAACAGACAAUGGCACAGAGUUUUUCAACAGUCAGUGUAGUGAGUUGUUUAAUGCACUUGGGAUUGUUCAUCAAAGCAGUUGUCCAUACACUCCAAAACAGAAUGAAGUGGUGGAAAGGAAAUACAGGCAUAUCCUUGAUGUGGCUAGAGCACCCAAGAUUCAAAAUAAUAUGCCAAUCAGAUUCUGGAGAAUGUGUUAGAAUGGCAGUAUACCUCAUCAACAAGAUACCCACACAGGUCUUAAAAAAACCUCCACGUGAAUUGUUGUAUGGUAAACAACCAAGUAUAGAUCAUUUGAGAGUAUUUGGUUAUUUGUGUUAUGCAAGUACCCUUCCUACCGGAGACAAGUUUGCUGCUAGAGCAAAGAGGGUGGUAAUGAUAGGGUAUUCAGAGACACAAAGAGGAUACAAACUCUUUGAUCUCGAAUUUAACAUUUUCUUUGUCAGAAGGGAUGUAACCUUUAGAGAAGAUAUUUUUCCCUUUCAAGGUGAAGAAAUUUGUCAAGAGGAUUUGUUCAUUCUUGCACCAGCAAACAUGAACACUAUUGCACCGAGAACAUAUGGUGAUGGUGUUUCUGUUAACACUUAGGAAGACUUAAGCAAUGAAAACAUGGAGGAAGAGGCAAUCCCUGCUCUUCUCCCUCAACCAAGCAAUACAACAACAGAUUUAUCAGCUGCAGAUUUGGAUGAGCCAACAGGAGUUAAUGCAGACAUUCCAAAUGCAUCUGAAGAUAUUGUAGUUGAACCUCUAGCCAUUAUGCAGAAAGCUGAAGCAGAUUUGCAGGAACAACAAGUAGCAACUCAACAAUUUCAGUCAAUUGAACCUGCUAUCAAUGCAGAAGCUCCAAUCCUUAGAAAAUCCACCAGAGGCACAAAGCCAGCAAUUUGGCUCAAAGAUUAUAUUACUGGAUUGAAGGCAUCAGGACACAUUGUCUAUCCAAUCUCUAAUUAUGUCAACUACACACACUCUCCAGAACACUAUCAAGACUACCUCUCCAGUUUCUCUACUCUCACAGAACCAAAGACUUUCUAUGAAGCCUCCACAGAUGAGAGAUGGAUUCAAGCUAUGCAAGAAGAAAUUCAAGCAUUUGAAGCUAACAAAACUUGGGAGAUUGUAGAGUUUCCACUAGGGAAGAAAGCAAUUGGCUCAAAGUGGGUGUACAAAAUCAAAUACAAGGCCAAUGGUGAAGUUGACAGGUUCAAGGCACGCUUAGUGGCUAAGGGCUAUACACAAUAGGAAGGUUUUGAUUACCAAAGCAUACCAACACCAGGCUUAUUGAUUUAUCUUUAUAAAAGAAAACUAAAAGAAACACCCAGCUAGAUUAAAGUAUUCAUCAAAGAAAGACAAAGUGAAGUAAUAAAUUAGUCAUGGAUCAACCUUAAGUAAAGAGGCUAAAAUAAAAUAACAAUAACAAAGCAUAGGAUAGACUGGAUCCCGAAGAGUAGCGAUAAGAAACGGACCUUUUAGAAAGCCACAAAAGUCUGGAAAUAAGACCAGCAGCACGUUAACGGGAACCUCGCCGGAACUUUAGAUGGAUCUCUCAAACAGAAAUUCGACUAUCCUGAUCUAUCUUUUGUGACAUUACAGGGCUGAAACGGAGCUUCGUCGGCUGAAAAAAAUGGAGAAAUUGAUGACUGUUUGGGUCUUUUUUUAAAGCUGAUUUUAAUGGAAUCUCAAAUGGGUUUAAGGUGAUAUAUGUGAAGUGAUAUGGGUUGAAAACUCUUUCGUUUCUUUUUGUUUUCCACCCCUAAUUUUUGUGCAAAGAAUCCCUUUUAUGUUCUGUGUGUGGUCUCUUUGUCUCUGAAGUUGGAGAAUUAAUUUUUUGAGAGUAUUUUGUUUCUUCUUUGGGAAAUUGGGUCAGAGGAUGAUGGGUGUCGCUUGCCUCUAUUCCAAGAAUGGGUGAGGCCGAUUUUUAUGGGGAAUGAGGGUCUGCCCUUUUUGUCUUCUUUCUUUUUCAAAGUGAAAGAGAUGGGGUUUUGCUGAAGGGUGAAGGACGCCAUUUUUUCUUUUUGGGAAUCGGGGUUCGUCCUUAGCCUUAGGAAAUUAGGUUAAGUCAAAUGUGGAA
RNAcentral lists this long non-coding RNA (14764 nucleotides) under Nicotiana tabacum (common tobacco). RNAcentral's name for it is "long non-coding RNA (NTAB_LNC017973)". Lineage: Eukaryota; Viridiplantae; Streptophyta; Magnoliopsida; Solanales; Solanaceae. The record is from RNAcentral.